This 405-nucleotide ribosomal RNA is filed under the name uncultured bacterium. RNAcentral's name for it is "partial 16S ribosomal RNA". It matches the Rfam family "Bacterial small subunit ribosomal RNA", at positions 30 to 526 of the family's 1533-position model. The record is from RNAcentral.
AUUGAACGCUAGCGGGAUGCUUUACACAUGCAAGUCGAACGAGUGGCGGACGGGUGAGUAAUAUCUCGGAACGUGCCCAGUAGCGGGGGAUAACUACUGGAAAGGGUGGCUAAUACCGCAUACUAUCGGAACUGCCCAUAUCGGAUUAGCUUGUUGGUGGGGUAAAGGCUCACCAAGGCGACGAUCCGUAGCUGGUUUGAGAGGACGACCAGCCACACUGGAACUGAGACCCGGCCCAGACUCCUACGGGAGGCAGCAGUGGGGAAUUUUGGACAAUGGGGGAAACCCUGAUGCAGCCAUCCCGCGUGUAUGAGAAGGCCUUCGGGUUGUAAAGUACUUUUGGCGGAGAAGCGGUAUCUGCAGAAUAAGCACCGGCUAACUACGUGCCAGCAGCCGCGGUAAUUC